This 254-nucleotide ribosomal RNA is filed under the name uncultured bacterium. Its description in RNAcentral is "partial 16S ribosomal RNA". It matches the Rfam family "Bacterial small subunit ribosomal RNA", at positions 524 to 776 of the family's 1533-position model. The record is from RNAcentral.
UACGGAGGGUGCGAGCGUUGUCCGGAAUCAUUGGGCGUAAAGGGCGCGUAGGUGGCCCGGUCAGUUCGUGGUGAAAGCGCGGGGCUCAACCCUGCGUCGGCCAUGAAUACUGCCGCGGCUGGAGCACUGUAGAGGCAGGCGGAAUUCCGGGUGUAGCGGUGGAAUGCGUAGAGAUCCGGAAGAACACCUGAGGUGAAGACGGGUUGCUGGGCUGACACUGACGCUGAGGCGCGAAAGCCAGGGGAGCAAACGGG